This 1439-nucleotide ribosomal RNA is filed under the name Chryseobacterium sp. RNAcentral's name for it is "partial 16S ribosomal RNA". It matches the Rfam family "Bacterial small subunit ribosomal RNA". Lineage: Bacteria; Pseudomonadati; Bacteroidota; Flavobacteriia; Flavobacteriales; Weeksellaceae. The record is from RNAcentral.
AGGAUGAACGCUAGCGGGAGGCUAACACAUGCAAGCCGAGCGGUAUUUGDNABASNRDNMNVNRSNNNNNRDNRNNWAUWWWNDNABASNRNCNMUNRNMNVNUHNSNNMNUAUNNNGAAGAUUAAUACCCCAUAAUAUAUAGAGUGGCAUCACUUGUAUUGAAAGCUCCGGCGGAUAGAGAUGGGCACGCGCAAGAUUAGAUAGUUGGUAGGGUAACGGCCUACCAAGUCGAUGAUCUUUAGGGGGCCUGAGAGGGUGAUCCCCCACACUGGUACUGAGACACGGACCAGACUCCUACGGGAGGCAGCAGUGAGGAAUAUUGGACAAUGGGUGAGAGCCUGAUCCAGCCAUCCCGCGUGAAGGACGACUGCCCUAUGGGUUGUAAACUUCUUUUGUACAGGGAUAAACCUAGAUACGUGUAUCUAGCUGAAGGUACUGUACGAAUAAGCACCGGCUAACUCCGUGCCAGCAGCCGCGGUAAUACGGAGGGUGCAAGCGUUAUCCGGAUUUAUUGGGUUUAAAGGGUCCGUAGGCGGGCCUGUAAGUCAGUGGUGAAAUCUCACAGCUCAACUGUGAAACUGCCAUUGAUACUGCAGGCCUUGAGUGAAUUUGAAGUGGCUGGAAUAAGUAGUGUAGCGGUGAAAUGCAUAGAUAUUACUUAGAACACCGAUUGCGAAGGCAGGUCACUAAGAUUCAACUGACGCUGAUGGACGAAAGCGUGGGGAGCGAACAGGAUUAGAUACCCUGGUAGUCCACGCCGUAAACGAUGCUAACUCGUUUUUGGGCUUUCGGGCUCAGAGACUAAGCGAAAGUGAUAAGUUAGCCACCUGGGGAGUACGUUCGCAAGAAUGAAACUCAAAGGAAUUGACGGGGGCCCGCACAAGCGGUGGAUUAUGUGGUUUAAUUCGAUGAUACGCGAGGAACCUUACCAAGGCUUAAAUGGGAAUUGACCGGUCUAGAAAUAGACCUUCCUUCGGGCAAUUUUCAAGGUGCUGCAUGGUUGUCGUCAGCUCGUGCCGUGAGGUGUUAGGUUAAGUCCUGCAACGAGCGCAACCCCUGUCACUAGUUGCCAUCAUUCAGUUGGGGACUCUAGUGAGACUGCCUACGCAAGUAGAGAGGAAGGUGGGGAUGACGUCAAAUCAUCACGGCCCUUACGCCUUGGGCCACACACGUAAUACAAUGGCCGGUACAGAGGGCAGCUACACAGCGAUGUGAUGCAAAUCUCGAAAGCCGGUCUCAGUUCGGAUUGGAGUCUGCAACUCGACUCUAUGAAGCUGGAAUCGCUAGUAAUCGCGCAUCAGCCAUGGCGCGGUGAAUACGUUCCCGGGCCUUGUACACACCGCCCGUCAAGCCAUGGAAGUCUGGGGUACCUGAAGUCGGUGACCGUAACAGGAGCUGCCUAGGGUAAAACAGGUAACUAGGGCUAAGUCGUAAGGGG